RNAcentral lists this long non-coding RNA (231 nucleotides) under Hordeum vulgare. RNAcentral describes it as "long non-coding RNA (HVUL_LNC010683)". The record is from RNAcentral. Lineage: Eukaryota; Viridiplantae; Streptophyta; Magnoliopsida; Poales; Poaceae.
AGAGGCGGUCCAUCUGCGCGCAGAGGCCCUGGAUCUGCGCCACCUCCCUCCGCACGGCCUCGGCGUCCGUCGUGUCCGGCGCGCCGACGGGCGGCGCCGAGGCGGAGUAGGAGGAGGAGGCGGGCGCCGAGGNGAGGCGAGCCGCUCGACGCGGGCCAUGCCGUCGCGGGCCGACAGCAGCAGCCGCCGCACGCUCUGGUACAUCUCCGACAGCGUCGCGCCGCCCCCGCC